AUUUGAAGACAAUUCAGGUAUCCAUAUAACUUAUUAAAAUUUCAUUCCUUGCAUUUUUCAAUAUCUUGCAACCGAAUGAAAUUACAGGAGUUUCAGACUGGAUAGACUACUUUAACCUGCACAUAAUCACAUAUCUCGCAUAACCUAGGCUAGGAAUACUUUAGUCAAAACUUGAAUACAGAGUGAUUCAGCGCUAUACAAGAAAACCUUUUAAACAUGAAUCACUAUACACACCAGAAUAAUUUUUUCCCGCUUUAUUGGUCUUUCCAAUAUAUACAUGCCACUGGAAUGAUAAAAGUGACAACAAUCAACAGGGGCAACUAAUAAUAAUUAAAAGAAAAAUGUAGCAGAUGCCUUUAAUAGCUGGCAGUUGAUUCUACCUGUAGCCUUUCACACCGGCACAUCUGACAAGUCAGUAUUGGAUAGCAAAACUGCAUGGAAGUUCAGGCACAUCCAGCAAUGGUGAAGCAUCAUUUAGUCUUCAUUACUUACCCAAAUUGAGCAACAUUCUUUGGUACAUUGUCCUUAAAGCGUUUUGCUUGCACCAAUUGCUUGUGUGUCA
This 562-nucleotide unclassified non-coding RNA is filed under the name Hevea brasiliensis (rubber tree). The record is from RNAcentral. Lineage: Eukaryota; Viridiplantae; Streptophyta; Magnoliopsida; Malpighiales; Euphorbiaceae.